This 1713-nucleotide ribosomal RNA is filed under the name Enterococcus faecalis. Its description in RNAcentral is "partial 23S ribosomal RNA". It matches the Rfam family "Bacterial large subunit ribosomal RNA", at positions 493 to 2217 of the family's 2925-position model. Lineage: Bacteria; Bacillati; Bacillota; Bacilli; Lactobacillales; Enterococcaceae. The record is from RNAcentral.
AACCAGUACCGUGAGGGAAAGGUGAAAAGCACCCCGGAAGGGGAGUGAAAUAGAUCCUGAAACCGUGUGCCUACAACAAGUCAAAGCUCGUUAAUGAGUGAUGGCGUGCCUUUUGUAGAAUGAACCGGCGAGUUACGAUUGCAUGCGAGGUUAAGUCGAAGAGACGGAGCCGCAGCGAAAGCGAGUCUGAAUAGGGCGAAUGAGUAUGUAGUCGUAGACCCGAAACCAUGUGAUCUACCCAUGUCCAGGUUGAAGGUGCGGUAAAACGCACUGGAGGACCGAACCCACGUACGUUGAAAAGUGCGGGGAUGAGGUGUGGGUAGCGGAGAAAUUCCAAACGAACUUGGAGAUAGCUGGUUCUCUCCGAAAUAGCUUUAGGGCUAGCCUCGGAAUUGAGAAUGAUGGAGGUAGAGCACUGUUUGGACUAGGGGCCCAUCUCGGGUUACCGAAUUCAGAUAAACUCCGAAUGCCAUUCAUUUAUAUCCGGGAGUCAGACUGCGAGUGAUAAGAUCCGUAGUCGAAAGGGAAACAGCCCAGACCACCAGCUAAGGUCCCAAAAUAUAUGUUAAGUGGAAAAGGAUGUGGGGUUGCACAGACAACUAGGAUGUUGGCUUAGAAGCAGCCACCAUUUAAAGAGUGCGUAAUAGCUCACUAGUCGAGUGACCCUGCGCCGAAAAUGUACCGGGGCUAAACAUAUUACCGAAGCUGUGGACUACACCAUUAGGUGUAGUGGUAGGAGAGCGUUCUAAGGGCGUUGAAGGUCGAUCGUGAGGACGGCUGGAGCGCUUAGAAGUGAGAAUGCCGGUAUGAGUAGCGAAAGACAGGUGAGAAUCCUGUCCACCGUAUGACUAAGGUUUCCUGGGGAAGGCUCGUCCGCCCAGGGUUAGUCGGGACCUAAGCCGAGGCCGAUAGGCGUAGGCGAUGGACAACAGGUUGAUAUUCCUGUACCAGUUGUUUUUGUUUGAGCAAUGGAGGGACGCAGUAGGCUAAGGAAUGCAUGCGAUUGGAAGUGCAUGUCCAAGCAAUGAGUCUUGAGUAGAGUUAAAUGCUUUACUCUUUAAGGACAAGUUGUGACGGGGAGCGAAAUAAUAGUAGCGAAGUUCCUGAUGUCACACUGCCAAGAAAAGCUUCUAGUGAGAAAACAACUGCCCGUACCGUAAACCGACACAGGUAGUCGAGGAGAGUAUCCUAAGGUGAGCGAGCGAACUCUCGUUAAGGAACUCGGCAAAAUGACCCCGUAACUUCGGGAGAAGGGGUGCUGACUUCGGUCAGCCGCAGUGAAUAGGCCCAAGCGACUGUUUAUCAAAAACACAGGUCUCUGCAAAAUCGUAAGAUGAAGUAUAGGGGCUGACGCCUGCCCGGUGCUGGAAGGUUAAGAGGAUGGGUUAGCUUCGGCGAAGCUCAGAAUUGAAGCCCCAGUAAACGGCGGCCGUAACUAUAACGGUCCUAAGGUAGCGAAAUUCCUUGUCGGGUAAGUUCCGACCCGCACGAAAGGCGUAACGAUUUGGGCACUGUCUCAACGAGAGACUCGGUGAAAUUUUAGUACCUGUGAAGAUGCAGGUUACCCGCGACAGGACGGAAAGACCCCAUGGAGCUUUACUGUAGUUUGAUAUUGAGUGUUUGUACCACAUGUACAGGAUAGGUAGGAGCCGAUGAGACCGGAACGCUAGUUUCGGAGGAGGCGCUGGUGGGAUACUACCCUUGUGUUAUGAA